This 254-nucleotide ribosomal RNA is filed under the name uncultured bacterium. RNAcentral's name for it is "partial 16S ribosomal RNA". It matches the Rfam family "Bacterial small subunit ribosomal RNA", at positions 524 to 776 of the family's 1533-position model. The record is from RNAcentral.
UACGGGGGGAGCAAGCGUUGUUCGGAUUUACUGGGCGUAAAGGGCGCGUAGGCGGCCUCCGCAAUUCAGUUGUGAAAUCUCCGAGCUUAACUCGGAAAGGUCAACUGAUACUGCGGGGCUAGAGUGCGGAAGGGGCAACUGGAAUUCUUGGUGUAGCGGUGAAAUGCGUAGAUAUCAAGAGGAACACCUGAGGUGAAGACGGGUUGCUGGGCUGACACUGACGCUGAGGCGCGAAAGCCAGGGGAGCAAACGGG